RNAcentral lists this ribosomal RNA (468 nucleotides) under uncultured bacterium. RNAcentral describes it as "partial 16S ribosomal RNA". It matches the Rfam family "Bacterial small subunit ribosomal RNA", at positions 28 to 507 of the family's 1533-position model. The record is from RNAcentral.
GACGAACGCUGGCGGCGUGCUUAACACAUGCAAGUCGAACGGAAAGGCCCUGCUUUUGUGGGGUGCUCGAGUGGCGAACGGGUGAGUAACACGUGAGUAACCUGCCCUUGACUUUGGGAUAACUUCAGGAAACUGGGGCUAAUACCGGAUAGGAGCUCCUGCCGCAUGGUGGGGGUUGGAAAGUUUCGGCGGUUGGGGAUGGACUCGCGGCUUAUCAGCUUGUUGAUGGGGUAGUGGCUUACCAAGGCUUUGACGGGUAGCCGGCCUGAGAGGGUGACCGGCCACAUUGGGACUGAGAUACGGCCCAGACUCCUACGGGAGGCAGCAGUGGGGAAUAUUGCACAAUGGGCGGAAGCCUGAUGCAGCAACGCCGCGUGCGGGAUGACGGCCUUCGGGUUGUAAACCGCUUUCGCCUGUGACGAAGCGUGAGUGACGGUAAUGGGUAAAGAAGCACCGGCUAACUACGUG